AAUCCCCAGACAAUAAAACGAUGGGAUAGAAAAGCAGGGCCAUAUUUUUCAUAUUGAAAUUUAUAACCACACUUUUAUACAAAACACAAACCAUAACAAUUCACAACUUUUUAUUCUAAGCUCUAUUCACAUCAAAAUGGAGAUAUCAAAGAAGAUAACAUCUCAGUCCACCUGGGCCGUCCUCAAGGCCCUUCUCAAGAUUAUCUUCUUCUUCCAAAAAUCCUUCUCCAACUCUUCCUCCUCAGCUCCUUAGCGGGGUCCUGAAAUGGUUUUCCCCAAACUGGGAUGAGACUACGUCUCAGCGAGUUCUACCCCACUAAGCCCGAUUAGUAAACCAUUAUACUAAAGGCUGCCUAAACACACAUAGGUCAGAAGGCGUACCUUAGCAUCAUAUCCCACCUGCAAGUCAGUACAAUUCACAAUAGGCACUCAAGCAAUCGUAUCACCGAUCAAGGCAUCAAUCAAAUCGACCUAGUCGAUGACAAUUCAACAAGACCACUCACGGUCAUUCCCAUUCAGUCAAUCAAUUCACAACAUCAAAUCAAAACAAUGAUCAAUCGACCUUGUCGAUUACAUGUCAACCUGACCAUUUCCCGGUCAUUCAAACUAUUGCUAUUCAGAGUCCCACUCAGCAACAUUCAAUAUUUAAUGGCUUUACGGUCCCACUCGACCCCUUGCAAGAUUUAAUGGCUUUACGGUCCCACUCGACCCAUUGCAAGAUUUAAUGGCUUUACGGUCCCACUCGACCCCUUGCAAGAUUUAAUGGCUUUACGGUCCCACUCGACCCCUUGCAAGAUUUAAUGGCUUUACGGUCCCACUCGACCCCUUGCAAGAUUUAAUGGCUUUACGGUACCACUCGACCCCUUGCAAGAUUUAAUGGCUUUACGGUCCCACUCGACCCCUUGCAAGAUUUAAUGGCUUUACGGUCCCACUCGACCCCUUGCAAGAUUUAAUGGCUUUACGGUCCCACUCGACCCCUUGCAAGAUUUAAUGGCUUUACGGUCCCACUCGACCCAUUGCAAGAUUUAAUGGCUUUACGGUCCCACUCGACCCCUUGCAAGAUUUAAUUUGGCACAAUUCAAAGCUCAAAUAAAUAAACGGACUGCGUCACGACAAUCGGUACGAGAUUUCGGUCGUCGGCCAUCUCAAUCUUAAUUUCCGAAAAAUAAAUAAUUAAUUAAUUAAUUUCGAAAUUUAAUUAAUAAAUACUAAUAAUUCAAAUUAGCACAAACUAAAACACAAUUAAACAAACGGGCUUCACCACGGUCAUCAGCAUAAUUUUCCGGUUCCAGGCCAUCUCAGUUGAAUUUUCAGGAAAUAAAUAAUUAAUUAAUUAAUUUCUAAAAUUAAAUAAUUAAUAUUAAAAAUUCAAUUUAGCUUAAAAUAAAGCCCGAUUAAAUAAACAGACUUCACCACGGUCAUCAGCAUAAUAUUCCGGUUCCGAACCAUCUCCCUUGAAUUUUCGGAAAAUAAAUAAUUAUUUAAUUUAAUUCCGAAAAUUAAUAUUUAAAUGCCCAAAAAUCUCACUUAGGCCCGAAUCGCCAAAUUGAAGCCCGAUUAGGGGUCGGAAAAUUCCCGAGAUGCUUCCAAUAAAUAGUAGACCACGUCUACUUGUUAAUUGCACAAUCAAUUUAUUUAAAUCACAUCACAAUUGACUAAUAAUUGCUAAUUAAUUCUAAUCUAACAACCUAAACAUAAUUAAUUAAAACUAAACCAACCUAAAGCAUAAUUAGUCAACUAAUCCAAGAUUAGUGAGAUUACUCACCAAAUCGCCCGCAAAUCGGAUCAAUCCGACGGCGGCGACGCGAGGAACGAUUGUUCCCAAAGCACGGCUCGGGUUCGGGGCCGGGAAACGACCCAAAAGCGGGCCCGAAGUCGCUGAAACCCACUCCGUGGGUCUGCUGGACGGAGCCGAUCGGGCUUGCUCCGGCGGCUAGGGCGGCGAGGGAAAGCCGGCGGAGGGCGAGGGGGUUGCGGGGGAGGUCCGGCGGGGUUGGGCGGUGGCCGGAGGUGGCCGGGGAUGGCUGGACGAAGCUGUAACAGAAGCGAACAGCAGCUGGGUCGCUGGAUCGCACGGCCUGAGCGCGCACGGACGGCGGCGGGCGCACGGGCGCGGCGCGGCGGUGCGGCGGUGCGGCGGCGGGACGAACGGCGAGGGGUUCUCGGCG
RNAcentral lists this long non-coding RNA (2168 nucleotides) under Eucalyptus grandis. Its description in RNAcentral is "long non-coding RNA (EGRA_LNC002585)". The record is from RNAcentral. Lineage: Eukaryota; Viridiplantae; Streptophyta; Magnoliopsida; Myrtales; Myrtaceae.